AAUAUUGGUCAAUGGGCGGAAGCCUGAUCCAGCCAUGCCGCGUGUGUGAAGAAUGUCUUCGGUUUGUAAAGCACGUUAAUUUGGGAGGAAGGGUUUACACCUAAGACGUGUGAACUUUGUCGUUACCAAAAGAAUAAGCACCGGCUAACUUACUGUCAGCCGCCGCGGUAAUACGAAGGGUGCAAGCGUUAAUCGGAAUUAGUGGGCGUAAAGCGCGCGUAGGUGGGUCGUUGAGUUGGAAGUGAAAGCCCCGGGCUCAACCUGGGAAUUGCUUUCAAAACUGGCGAGCUAGAGUACGGUAGAGGGUGGUGGAAUUUCCUGUGUAGCGGUGAAAUGCGUAGAUAUAGGAAGGAACAUCAGUGGCGAAGGCGACCACCUGGACUGAUACUGACACUGAGGUGCGAAAGCGUGGGGAGCAAACAGG
This 424-nucleotide ribosomal RNA is filed under the name uncultured bacterium. Its description in RNAcentral is "partial 16S ribosomal RNA". It matches the Rfam family "Bacterial small subunit ribosomal RNA", at positions 360 to 776 of the family's 1533-position model. The record is from RNAcentral.